This 506-nucleotide ribosomal RNA is filed under the name uncultured bacterium. Its description in RNAcentral is "partial 16S ribosomal RNA". It matches the Rfam family "Bacterial small subunit ribosomal RNA", at positions 30 to 523 of the family's 1533-position model. The record is from RNAcentral.
AUUGAACGCUGGCGGCAGGCCUAACACAUGCAAGUCGAGCGGCAGCGGAAAGUAGCUUGCUACUUUGCCGGCGAGCGGCGGACGGGUGAGUAAUGUCUGGGAAACUGCCUGAUGGAGGGGGAUAACUACUGGAAACGGUAGCUAAUACCGCAUAACGUCGCAAGACCAAAGAGGGGGACCUGCGGGCCUCUUGCCAUCAGAUGUGCCCAGAUGGGAUUAGCUAGUAGGUGGGGUAACGGCUCACCUAGGCGACGAUCCCUAGCUGGUCUGAGAGGAUGACCAGCCACACUGGAACUGAGACACGGUCCAGGCUCCUACGGGAGGCAGCAGUGGGGAAUAUUGCACAAUGGGCGCAAGCCUGAUGCAGCCAUGCCGCGUGUAUGAAGAAGGCCUUCGGGUUGUAAAGUACUUUCAGCGGGGAGGAAGGUGUUGUGGUUAAUAACCACAGCAAUUGACGUUACCCGCAGAAGAAGCACCGGCUAACUCCGUGCCAGCCGCCGCGGUAA